Ochotona princeps (American pika) is the source of this 380-nucleotide long non-coding RNA. RefSeq lists it as uncharacterized. The transcript is spliced from 3 exons. NCBI's taxonomy places the organism in Eukaryota, Metazoa, Chordata, Mammalia, Lagomorpha, Ochotonidae. The record is from RefSeq and is a predicted model, not a curated record.
AAUAAUAUUGUUUGUAGUGGUAGUCAUUAUAGAAUCAGACAUUUUACGUGAUAAAAGGGACUUGGCGAGGUCAUAAAGUACAAGCACUUGAUGCAAGCUCUACUGAACAAUCAUCGUAUCUUUGGAUUUUUCCAAAUGAAUCACCCAUUUGUUCUGUUUAUCAUUCAUGACUUGUGGGAAAUUGUCGUAAAAACCACACUCUUUAUGAGGAUUCGGGCAGGUGUCCUGGAUAAUCACUUGAUCGAGAAGAGAAUCUUAACACCUUGAUCCACUUGGUGUACCCUUGGAACAGACUGUGGGAGCAGCAUAAGAGUGAGAAAGCAAAGGCAGUGAGCAUCUACUUGGAAAUAAGAUCUGCCUGUGGAGCUGCCCAGACGGGU